This 224-nucleotide long non-coding RNA is filed under the name Panax ginseng (ginseng). RNAcentral's name for it is "long non-coding RNA (PGIN_LNC003971)". The record is from RNAcentral. Lineage: Eukaryota; Viridiplantae; Streptophyta; Magnoliopsida; Apiales; Araliaceae.
UCAAAGAUAAAUAUUAGAGAUUUAUAAUUUAAGUUAUCCAGAGUUCAAGAAUAUCCAAAUUGUCAACAUGAUAACUAAUUGUGGAGUAAAAUUCAAGAAUGAUAUUCAUGUAUCAAAAAUAAUUUGGACAAAAAAAAACCAAUUUUAUCGUGAAUAGUACCCCAUGAAUAGUACCCCGAAUGAAUAUUACUCCGUAAAUAGUACCCCGAAUGAAUAGUACUCCG